This is a long non-coding RNA of Podarcis raffonei (Aeolian wall lizard), 2345 nucleotides long. RefSeq lists it as uncharacterized. The transcript is spliced from 3 exons. The record is from RefSeq and is a predicted model, not a curated record. Lineage: Eukaryota; Metazoa; Chordata; Lepidosauria; Squamata; Lacertidae.
GGUGUUGGAACUCAUCACAAAUGCCUCCCUCAUUCUCUUAGAAUGGCAAUGGUGGUCACCUGAGAGAUGCCAAAACUGAGUUUGAGUGAGUUCCGGCUGGAAAAAAAGCCCUAACUUUACACUUUAAAUGUAUGGUGCGUAGCUUUUUUUAUUGCACCAAACUCCAGCCCUAGUUCAUAGAUCUAAGACAUGAACUUUGAAUAGUAGUCUGAAUAGAAAGUUAUAUUUGGUGGAAGCCGUUGUUGGCUUCAUCCUGAAAAUUCUUCUACUUAAUUUUAAGAAAACAGCAUUGUCAAGGCUUGAUCGCACGUUGUGAUGUCUUCAUUUUAUAUUUGCAGAAGUAUAAAAAAAGUGGGAAAGUGAAAUCUUUAGCAGUAAUUGUCUCCCCGCAACCCCUAUCAAAUCCCCUGGGUUAGAAAUCUUGUUUUUCAUUUCUGCUGGGCUAUCACAUUUUCACUCCUGUCUGUUAAUUCACGUGGCACUUCUUUGCUGCUGCUGCUGUUAUUAUCUGAUUCUAAAUACUAAUACCAACAGAAAAUGGAUCCAUUAUCAAUAUUGGCUCUGUUUUGCAUUCCUUUCAGAGAAGCUGAAAUGAAGCAUCCUUAAUCACUAGUAAUGUCCUAUAAUGCCAACAGAGUUCUGACAGUAGGACUUCAGUGCGUUGAAGAUUCCCACUUUUCAGGACUAGAUGACUCUUGUGGUCCUGGCCAACUCUACAAUUUUAUGCAAACUGUCAAGGAAGAACUAUGCCAUACUGUACAGACUGAAACAUCAGUAAAAUGACCAACCCCAGCACUGUAUAAAAUAGAUUGUGUUGUUAUAUAGUUCCUUCUUAAUGCCUUAUUCAGCUGCAGCUGGGACCUGGCGCAGGCAGGCCAGGAUCAGAAAGGCAAUAGAUGGGGUCAGAAAUGGGCUGCAGGUAGAGUGGCCAGAUGUAAAACAGGGCUUGGCUCCAGCAGCUUUAACACCUGUGCUGAAGAGGGAAUUUCAGCAGAUGCAGCUUGUCUGAGCUCCCCCUCCCCACACACCCUUGCAUUGCAUUGUUUUGUGGUGUUCUUCCAAAUUAUGGGAGGAGCUUCCACAAGUUCCCUGUUGCAGAAGUUUAUGGUUGCAUGUGGAUGGCUGUGGGACUGGCAGCAUGAUAGCAGGGUCACUCCUGCCCUCAUGCAGUGUGGAUUGCAUGAAGAGGAGUAGAAUGGCUUUGUCUGUGGUAAACACAAGGCAUAGCAUGUCUAGAGUUUGGUGUUUUGCUCCUUCCUGUGGUAAAAGUUUGGGCUUCUGUGCUCCUAUCCAACCUGAUUACCUCAUUUUCAUUAGUGAAGAAACCCACAUGAGGAAGUUUCCUUGCACGCUGCGGAAACUGGUGGUCUGCGAGCUAAUUUGGUUUCUGUGACUGCAGAGGCACCUUCUGAUGAGCUUAAUUCUGUAUUUUUCCCCUGCCCUGCACCUGACGAGCGCAUACAGAAAAGCUGAUACAGCUCUUGCUCUCUCCUUCAUCCUGACAUAGGUUUGUAACAUAAACUAUUGUACAGCCCUAGGUCAGAGCUAUCAGUUUUCAAAUCACCAGCUCCUUAGUCAUCACAAUUAUGAAGGCAGAUUUCGUGUUGAUGUUGGUCUAAGCAGUUCUCUUGCAGAUUACUUCUAAGCAACUUCUGUGGGCUGAAGUCCUUCAAGAAUAAUUAACCAAAAGGACAUUACGAAUCAUUAUGUUUUAUAUCUUUUUCAUUACAGGUUUUCUUGGGAUACUAUUGUCACUAAAUGGUGGUUCGUUGCAAAUGGAUCUGAUUUCUGCUGACUUCGCAACCUAUUAUCUAGUGACAGAAGUUAAGGCUUUGAGUGCUGUUGCAGGCAUGGAAGAUUCCCAAGGUUUGAAGAAAUACAAAAAAGGACAAAAAGUAUUAGGGGGGAAAUCCUCAGGAGGGACCCACCCCCCACAGCCCACUAAGCUUGCUCCAUGACUGUGGAAUGCUGACUGACUGUUGGAAGGGACUUUGAAAUGGAGAUGCUGAAAUCCUGAACAGCAGCACUUGCUUGAACACCUGAAGCCAAAUUCGUGGACUGGAGGAUGGGAUGAAGGCAGGAAUGUGCCUGUAAGCCCCACUACACUCUGUGCUUGUGGGUCCUCCUGCUCAUUAUUUGACCUUCCUUAUGUUGUAGUGGUCCCAUCACCUCCUGGCAAAUAGAAGGGGAAGAAAUGGAGGUAGUGAGAGAUUUUACUUUCUUGGGCUCCAUGAUCACUGCAGAUGGUGACAGUAGCCACGAAAUUAAAAGACGCCUGCUUCUUGGGAGAAAAGCAAUGACAAACCUAGACAGCAUCUUAAAAAGUAGAGACAUCACCUUGCUAA